Molecule: ribosomal RNA, 301 nt
Filed under: uncultured bacterium
Lineage: Bacteria
Description: partial 16S ribosomal RNA
Rfam family: Bacterial small subunit ribosomal RNA
Source: RNAcentral
CAGCCGCCGCGGGAAAACGUAGGGUGCGAGCGUUAAUCGGAAUUACUGGGCGUAAAGCGUGCGCAGGCGGUUCGUUAAGACAGAUGUGAAAUCCCCGGGCUUAACCUGGGAACUGCAUUUGUGACUGGCGAGCUAGAGUAUGGCAGAGGGGGGUAGAAUUCCACGUGUAGCAGUGAAAUGCGUAGAGAUGUGGAGGAAUACCGAUGGCGAGGGCAGCCCCCUGGGCCAAUACUGACGCUCAUGCACGAAAGCGUGGGGAGCAAACAGGAUUAGAUACCCCGGUAGUCCCUGUCUCUUAUAC